UACUGGCCGGCAGCCUUCCCAUGCAGUCGAGGCGGGGAGGUUAGCUUGCUACCGGACCUAGCGGCGGACGGGUGAGUAAUGCUUAGGAAUCUGCCUAUUAGUGGGGGACAAGCAUCUCGAAAGGGAUGCUAAUACCGCUAUACGUCCUACGGGAGAAAGCAGGGGAAUCUCCGAACCUUGCGCUAAUAGAUGAGCCUAAGGUCGGAUAAGCUAGUUGGUGGGGGUAAAGGCCUACCAAGGCGACGAUCUGUAGCGGGGUCCUGAGAGGAUGAUCCGCCACACUGGGACUGAGACACGGCCCAGACUCCUACGGGAGGCAGCAGUGGGGGAAUAUUGGACAAUGGGGGGAAACCUGAUCCAGCCAUGCCGCGUGUGUGAAGAAGGCCUUAUGGUUGUAAAGCACUUUAAGCGAGGAGGAGGCUACUUUAGUUAAUACCUAGAGAUAGUGGACGUUUACUCGCAGAAUAAGCACCGGCUAACUCUGUGCCAGCAGCCGCGGUAAUACAGAGGGUGCGGAGCGUGAAUCGGAUUUACUGGGCGUAAAGCGUGCGCACCGCGGCUUAUUAAGUCGGAUGUGAAAUCCCCGAGCUUAACUUGAGAAUUGCAUUCGAUACUGGUGAGCUAGAGUAUGGGAAAGGAUGGUAAAAUUCCAGGUGUAGCGGUGAAAUGCGUAGAGAUCUGGAGGAAUACCGAUGGCGAAGGCAGCCAUUCUGGCCUAAUACUUGACGCUGAGGUACGAAAUGCAUGGGGGAGCAAACAGGAUUAGAUACCCUGGUAGUCCAUGCCGUAAACGAUGUCUACUAGCCGUUGGGGCCUUUGAGGCUUUAGUGGCGCAGCUAACGCGAUAAGUAGACCGCCUGGGGAGUACGGUCGCAAGACUAAAACUCAAAUGAAUUGACGGGGGCCCGCACAAGCGGUGGAGCAUGUGGUUUAAUUCGAUGCAACGCGAAGAACCUUACCUGGCCUUGACAUACUAGAAACUUUCCAGAGAUGGAUUGGUGCCUUCGGGAAUCUAGAUACAGGUGCUGCAUGGCUGUCUCAGCUCCGGUGCCCUCCCC
This 1058-nucleotide ribosomal RNA is filed under the name Acinetobacter baumannii. RNAcentral's name for it is "bacterial SSU rRNA". It matches the Rfam family "Bacterial small subunit ribosomal RNA", at positions 34 to 1074 of the family's 1533-position model. Lineage: Bacteria; Pseudomonadati; Pseudomonadota; Gammaproteobacteria; Moraxellales; Moraxellaceae. The record is from RNAcentral.